This 253-nucleotide ribosomal RNA is filed under the name uncultured bacterium. RNAcentral's name for it is "partial 16S ribosomal RNA". It matches the Rfam family "Bacterial small subunit ribosomal RNA", at positions 524 to 776 of the family's 1533-position model. The record is from RNAcentral.
UACAGGGGGUGCAAACGUUGCUCGGAAUCAUUGGGCGUAAAGCGCACGUAGGCGGUCUGUUAUGUCGGAUGUGAAAGCCCUUGGCUCAACUGAGGAAGUGCAUCCGAAACUGGCAGGCUAGAGUACGAAAGAGGAUCGCGGAAUUCCCGGUGUAGAGGUGAAAUUCGUAGAUAUCGGGAGGAACACCGGUGGCGAAGGCGGCGUCCUGGACCAACACUGACACUGAUGAGCGAAAGCCAGGGGAGCAAACGGG